GAUGAACGCUGGCGGCGUGCUUAACACAUGCAAGUCGAACGGAAAGGCCCAAGCUUGCUUGGGUACUCGAGUGGCGAACGGGUGAGUAACACGUGGGUGAUCUGCCCUGCACUUCGGGAUAAGCCUGGGAAACUGGGUCUAAUACCGGAUAGGACGAUGGUUUGGAUGCCAUUGUGGAAAGUUUUUUCGGUGUGGGAUGAGCUCGCGGCCUAUCAGCUUGUUGGUGGGGUAAUGGCCUACCAAGGCGUCGACGGGUAGCCGGCCUGAGAGGGUGUACGGCCACAUUGGGACUGGGAUACGGCCCAGACUCCUACGGGAGGCAGCAGUGGGGAAUAUUGCACAAUGGGCGCAAGCCUGAUGCAGCGACGCCGCGUGGGGGAUGACGGCCUUCGGGGUGUAAACUCCUUUCGCUAGGGACGAAGCGUUUUUGUGACGGUACCUGGAGAAGAAGCACCGGCUAACUACGUG
This 468-nucleotide ribosomal RNA is filed under the name uncultured bacterium. RNAcentral's name for it is "partial 16S ribosomal RNA". It matches the Rfam family "Bacterial small subunit ribosomal RNA", at positions 28 to 507 of the family's 1533-position model. The record is from RNAcentral.